GCGAUUCGACAUGAUCUGAUUUGUUGACUGUUUUGUUGUUUAUUUUUGUUUAUGGUUUAUAUUUUAUUGAAGAAUCAUUUUGUUAUUGUAUUUUUCUGAUUUAAUUUUUUUAACAAUAGAUUAUUUGUACCGUGAGGGGUUAUGUAAUUAUUUUUUUUAAAGUAAAAUUUAUUUUUUGUACCUUGUGUAUCAGGGUUCAUUGAAUUUUAUUAUUUAUUUUUAUUUCCCGAUUUUAAAGGAGUUAAUGAUUUAUAUUAUUUACUGUUUCAUUAGUAUUAAUAAUAUGUUGUUGGUAGUGAAAUGUUAUUCGCCUUUAAUGGUUUCUGGUUUUUCGAGAAAUGAAUUGAAUUCAUACAUUUUAUUUAAUUUCUGUUUUUGUUUUAUUAUUUUUUAUUUUAUGUAAAAAUUAUGGGGGAUUAGCUUCUUAUUUUAUUAUUAUAAUUAAUUUAUUCAAUUUAGUUUUGUGGAUUUUAUAUUGAUUUUCAAUUUGAUUAUGUUAAAAUUUUAUUUAUUUUUUUAUUUAUUUUGUUUUUAAUUUAAUUUAUUUAUUGGAAUGUUUAUUUUAUUUUUAUUUGUAUAAUAAUUAUUGUGUAAUUAGUAAAUUUAUUUUUUAUAUUAUUUUGAUAUUUAUGUUAAUUUCUAUUUAGGAAUUCGGCAAAAUUUCAUGUCCGCCUGUUUAACAAAAACAUCUUUUCUUGUUAGUUUUUGAAGUAAGGCCUGCCCACUGACUUAUUUGUUGAAGGGCCGCGGUAUUUUGACCGUGCAAAGGUAGCAUAAUCAUUAGUUCUUUAAUUGUGAUCUGGUAUGAAUGGCUUGACGAGACAUUAACUGUCUUGGUAUUAUUGUUUAUUGAAUUUAGUUUUUGAGUUAAAAUUCUUAGAUGUUUUUAUGGGACGAGAAGACCCUAUAGAGUUUUACAUUUGAUUGUAUUAGGUUUAGUUUGUUUUGUUUUUAUUAAUUUUAUUAAGUGUUUUGUUGGGGUGAUGGGAGGAAUAUUUUUAACUCCUCUUUAUUUUUUUAUAUUGAUUUAUAUUUUUUUGAUCCAUUUAUUUUGAUUAUAAGAUUAAAUUACCUUAGGGAUAACAGCGUUAUCUUCCUUGAGAGUUCUUAUUGGCAGGGAGGUUUGCGACCUCGAUGUUGGAUUAAGGUGAAUUUUCGGUGCAGGAGCUGAAAAGUGAUUAGGUCUGUUCGACCUUUAAAAUCUUACAUGAUCUGAGUUCAGACCGGCGUGAGCCAGGUCGGUUUCUAUCUAUAAUUUUUUAUUAUACCUUAGUACGAGAGGACCGGGUAUUUGAAAUAAUUUUAUUUAUAUGAUUUAUAUUAAUUUGGUUACUAUUUUGGCAGAUAAGUGCAUUGGAUUUAGAAUCUAUU
This 1371-nucleotide ribosomal RNA is filed under the name Procapritermes martyni. RNAcentral's name for it is "16S ribosomal RNA". The stretch from base 887 to 1255 matches the Rfam family "Archaeal large subunit ribosomal RNA", at positions 2150 to 2716 of the family's 2987-position model. The record is from RNAcentral. Lineage: Eukaryota; Metazoa; Arthropoda; Insecta; Blattodea; Termitidae.